UAGCUACUCCCUCCGUCCGGAAAUACUUGUCGGAGAAAUGGAUAAAAAUGGACGUAUCUAGAAUUAAAAUACAUCUAGAGACAUCCAUUCCUCCAACAAGUAUUUCCGAACGGAGGGAGUACUUU
This is a non-coding RNA of Triticum aestivum (bread wheat), 125 nucleotides long. The record is from Rfam. NCBI's taxonomy places the organism in Eukaryota, Viridiplantae, Streptophyta, Magnoliopsida, Poales, Poaceae.